Dipodomys ordii (Ord's kangaroo rat) is the source of this 58-nucleotide non-coding RNA. The record is from Rfam. NCBI's taxonomy places the organism in Eukaryota, Metazoa, Chordata, Mammalia, Rodentia, Heteromyidae.
UGGCUCAGUGGUAGAGUGCUUGCCUUGCAUGCAUGAGGCCCUGGGUUCGAUUCCUCAG